Molecule: long non-coding RNA, 482 nt
Organism: Rattus rattus (black rat)
Lineage: Eukaryota; Metazoa; Chordata; Mammalia; Rodentia; Muridae
Exons: 2
Source: RefSeq, a predicted model, not a curated record
UACCAUGCCUCCACAAGAAAAUCAACUUUGUCACAAGCCUGAAAGCAUUGGAACCAGCUGGCCAAAACUCGAUUUUCUCAGGAGAGGGAAAAAUCAUCAUUACAAGGACACAUUCCUCCCCGACCGACCGCUGGCACUUUGCUCUUCAAUUCUCCAGGCUCCGCGCUGAGACAUUUUUCCUUGGCUAAGCCAGUCUGCGUUCACCUUUCCUCACCCGGCUGAAAGCUUCCCAACUCCUCACAUCUUGGCUCAUGUAUAAAAGAACUCAUCCGAAAGGCUUCCCGAAGGAGUUGGCAAGAGCUGCUCCUGGCUAGGGGUGGCUGCCGGGCAUUGGGGGAAGGGGCUUCAGGCUCUACCAGGUCAUUCCGAAAGCUGAAGGGACCACGUAUGGGCAUUUGAAAAUGUGCUUUCUUUGGGGCAGUUUUAAUGGGAAAUGCAGGCUUGGAAAAUAAACCCCUCAGGUGUUCUGGGGUAUCACGCUA